Molecule: ribosomal RNA, 198 nt
Filed under: uncultured bacterium
Lineage: Bacteria
Description: partial 16S ribosomal RNA
Rfam family: Bacterial small subunit ribosomal RNA
Source: RNAcentral
ACGCUCGACACCUACGGGAGGCGGCAGUGGGGAAUAUUGCACAAUGGGGGAAACCCGUGAUGCAGCGACGCCGCGUGGAGGAAGAAGGUCUUCGGAUUGUAAACUCCUGUUGUUGGGGAAAAAGAGGAUGGUACCCAACAAGGAAGUGACGGCUAACUACGUGCCAGCAGCCGGGUAAUCUGAGCGGGCUGGCAAGGC